This 468-nucleotide ribosomal RNA is filed under the name uncultured bacterium. RNAcentral describes it as "partial 16S ribosomal RNA". It matches the Rfam family "Bacterial small subunit ribosomal RNA", at positions 28 to 507 of the family's 1533-position model. The record is from RNAcentral.
GACGAACGCUGGCGGCGUGCUUAACACAUGCAAGUCGAACGGAAAGGCCCUGCUUUUGUGGGGUGCUCGAGUGGCGAACGGGUGAGUAACACGUGAGUAACCUGCCCUUGACUUUGGGAUAACUUCAGGAAACUGGGGCUAAUACCGGAUAGGAGCUCCUGCUGCAUGGUGGGGGUUGGAAAGUUUCGGCGGUUGGGGAUGGACUCGCGGCUUAUCAGCUUGUUGGUGGGGUAGUGGCUUACCAAGGCUUUGACGGGUAGCCGGCCUGAGAGGGUGACCGGCCACAUUGGGACUGAGAUACGGACCAGACUCCUACGGGGGGCAGCAGGGGGGAAUAUUGCACAAUGGGCGGAAGCCUGAUGCAGCAACGCCGCGGGCGGGAUGACGGCCUUCGGGUUGUAAACCGCUUUCGCCUGUGACGAAGCGUGAGUGACGGUAAUGGGUAAAGAAGCACCGGCUAACUACGUG